CAAUGGUUUCCGAAUCACAUUUCAGUGAGAAAGAUUAAAAGGGAAUCCUGUGAAAAUCAGGAACUAUCCCCGUAGCUGUAAGUUUUGCUCCUGCAAAGGAGAAAUGUAGUAACUGUCAUAUACCACUGGUCUCAAGGCCGGGAAGGUGUUACUACUGAAACAAGUCAGAAGACCUGCCAUUUCAAUC
RNAcentral lists this non-coding RNA (187 nucleotides) under Parabacteroides timonensis. The record is from RNAcentral. Lineage: Bacteria; Pseudomonadati; Bacteroidota; Bacteroidia; Bacteroidales; Tannerellaceae.